GUUCGGAAUUAUUGGGCGUAAAGAGUUUGUAGGGGGAUUGUUAAGUUUAAUGUGAAAUCCUGGAGCUUAACUCCAGAACUGUAUUAAAUACUAACAGUCUAGAGUCUUAAAGAGGAGAGUGGAAUUCCUGGUGUAACGGUGGAAUGUAUAGAUAUCAGGAGGAAGGCCAACGGCGUAAGCAACUCUCUAGGUGAGUACUGACCCUCAGAAAACGAAAGCGUGGGUAGCAAACAGGAUUAGAUACCCUGG
This 249-nucleotide ribosomal RNA is filed under the name Ctenophora environmental sample. RNAcentral describes it as "partial Bacterial small subunit ribosomal RNA". It matches the Rfam family "Bacterial small subunit ribosomal RNA", at positions 543 to 790 of the family's 1533-position model. The record is from RNAcentral. Lineage: Eukaryota; Metazoa; Ctenophora.